Long non-coding RNA from Monomorium pharaonis (pharaoh ant), 1065 nucleotides. RefSeq lists it as uncharacterized. The record is from RefSeq and is a predicted model, not a curated record. The transcript has 6 exons. Lineage: Eukaryota; Metazoa; Arthropoda; Insecta; Hymenoptera; Formicidae.
GAGAGAGACAAAGAUGAGAGGAUCGGGAGCAAGAACGAGAGCAGGUGACGGGCUUGGCGGGACGGAGGCCACGAACCGGUGUUACGACGGAGAGAGCUGCGACGCGCGCGGUCGACCAAACGAAGAUGGCGCAGAAUCGACCUUGCCGUAAUCGAGAUUACCCGAGGACACCGGGGAGGAUAUGGAAAAAUUCGUUCGUGAUAUAUUCACGGCUGUAGCUUCUAUCUUUCCGCACACGUACAUCCACUUCCCUUCCACGUCGUCGAUGCGAUAUAUCGCCAGUUUGAGAGACGAUGUCGGUGACCCGGAAUUUGCAUUUCCACGGAAAAUACGUCAAGGGAGGGCAUGCGGAGGAACAAGGACGGAGACUCGAGAGAAUUCCGACAGAUACUCUACUACCCAUCCGUACGAUCUUCCAAUCGUAAACGGCAACUUCCGAUUCGCAUGCCAGAUAGGAGGCAAUUGGCUGAAGGGUGGCAGAGCUUACAGGGAUACAACUGAUGAUAGGAGAGGGGCGUUCCUGAAAUAUUAAAAUAAUACAUGAAACAGCCCUGCGAAACUCUCUGCUGCUUGAACACUAGAGUGUUAUCUUGUUACGAGGAUGAGGUGAAGAAAUUAUGGUUUACCGCAGUAACGUGAGGAUCAUUAAUCGAAGCUACAACACGUGAUACUACGUGCUAUGCGAGAAAUCAAGAGUUAGAUCAUCAGGACCACGUCGGCGGAGAUGAGAAAUGUUUCAUAAAGAUAACCUCGAACUAAUCUAUGUCCUUCUAAAGUAACUGGCGAAUUACCUACUAUAAUUAUACACGCUGAUAUAUUGUAAUAUACGUAUGGAGAAAAAAAUGUGCAGGUAUAAUGUUGAAAGUGUAAUUAAUAAAUUCCAUUAAGCGCGCACGAGAUUUGAGAUUUAGCGCCAGAAGAUUUUUUCCCUUAUGUGAGCGUUAGGUUGGUAGUCCGGGAGUGAGCUAGGUUGGUAAUGCGAGAGUUAGGUUGGUGGAAGAACGGCAGUAGGAAAAGAAUAGGCGGCGAGACAAGAAGUAAAUAAAGCAUGUGCGAGUAAAUGUA